UUGAAAGGGAAACGAUUGAAGUCAGUCGUACCUGUGGGUAAUCAGCCUUUUGGGUGUGAUUUUGUGGAGUGUGAGGAGUUAAACGCCUUCAUGCCUGCAUAUUCGUGCACUUUGGGUGUAUUUACCCGUGUGGUAAGUUAACAUCAAUUUCGGUGAUCAUAAAAUGGCUGGAGGAAUGUAGCUUCGAUCUUGUAUUGAAGUGUUAUAGCCUUCGGUAGAUGUGAUGAUCGGGAUUGAGGAUUGCAACGGAUACCUUCGGGGCUACCUGUCUGAUCUCUGAUCGUUGCUCUGGUGCCGAAAGCUUGCUUACGGUUAUCAAAGUCGAUGGUCAAUAGGUUAGAAUGGGUUAAAUCGUUAAGGAUGUUGACGUA
This 371-nucleotide ribosomal RNA is filed under the name uncultured Glomeromycotina. Its description in RNAcentral is "LSU rRNA". The record is from RNAcentral. Lineage: Eukaryota; Fungi; Glomeromycota.